RNAcentral lists this ribosomal RNA (465 nucleotides) under Vreelandella stevensii. Its description in RNAcentral is "partial 16S ribosomal RNA". It matches the Rfam family "Bacterial small subunit ribosomal RNA", at positions 338 to 795 of the family's 1533-position model. The record is from RNAcentral. Lineage: Bacteria; Pseudomonadati; Pseudomonadota; Gammaproteobacteria; Oceanospirillales; Halomonadaceae.
CCUACGGGUGGCUGCAGUGGGGAAUAUUGGACAAUGGGGGCAACCCUGAUCCAGCCAUGCCGCGUGUGUGAAGAAGGCCCUCGGGUUGUAAAGCACUUUCAGUGAGGAAGAACGCCUGGUGGUUAAUACCCAUCAGGAAAGACAUCACUCACAGAAGAAGCACCGGCUAACUCCGUGCCAGCAGCCGCGGUAAUACGGAGGGUGCGAGCGUUAAUCGGAAUUACUGGGUGUAAAGCGCGCGUAGGUGGCUUGAUAAGCCGGUUGUGAAAGCCCCGGGCUCAACCUGGGAACGGCAUCCGGAACUGUCAAGCUAGAGUGCAGGAGAGGAAGGUAGAAUUCCCGGUGUAGCGGUGAAAUGCGUAGAGAUCGGGAGGAAUACCAGUGGCGAAGGCGGCCUUCUGGACUGACACUGACACUGAGGUGCGAAAGCGUGGGUAGCAAACAGGAUUAGAUACCCCGGUAGUC